AUAUAGUGGAGCCACUACGGUCCUCACAGACAUUUCUAAAUGUGAGUUAAAAGGGAAUCCGGUAAAGGGUAUUCAAAAAGAUGAAUAUUCUAAAGCCGGGGCUGCCCCCGCAACUGUAAUCAGCCACCAGUUUUAGGACUGGUCGCUCGGGCAACAUGCCACUGGAUAUAUCCGGGAAGGCUGUCUGAGUGAAGCUGAAAGCCAGGAGACCUGCCGUGGAUAUUUUUCGUAA
This 232-nucleotide non-coding RNA is filed under the name Methylovorus sp. MM2. RNAcentral also lists the same sequence under 1 other name. Lineage: Bacteria; Pseudomonadati; Pseudomonadota; Betaproteobacteria; Nitrosomonadales; Methylophilaceae. The record is from RNAcentral.